Molecule: non-coding RNA, 181 nt
Filed under: Halobacteria archaeon
Lineage: Archaea; Methanobacteriati; Methanobacteriota; Halobacteria
Description: 6S RNA
Rfam family: 6S / SsrS RNA
About the family: E. coli 6S RNA was the first non coding RNA to be sequenced, but its function was unknown until recently. It consists of 184 nucleotides that fold into an extended hairpin structure with a large single-stranded internal bulge.
Source: RNAcentral
UAUCCCCUGCUGUGUACGAUAGUGGCUUGGAUCUCCUCGAGCCUAAUUACUAUUGCAGGGGACUGUUAGCUGAUGUUGGUGUGCAUGUCCGCUGCUGGCGGAAAGCCUGAUACAUCACUGCGGUCCCCCCUUGAACCUUCGGUUCAGGGGCGAAAGUCACAACGGCACAAGCGGGGGAUAU